This is a long non-coding RNA of Saccostrea cuccullata (small rock oyster), 790 nucleotides long. RefSeq lists it as uncharacterized. The transcript has 2 exons. Lineage: Eukaryota; Metazoa; Mollusca; Bivalvia; Ostreida; Ostreidae. The record is from RefSeq and is a predicted model, not a curated record.
UUCCGUUACGUGUUUUGACCUAAACAUGUAUAAGAUUGUAUUUAACGGCUAAACACUUAGGUCUAAACAUGUGUUAGAUUGUGUUUAACGUCUAAACACUUAGGUCUAAACGUGUGUUAUAUCUAAAUGAUGUUAAGAUUUAACACAUGUUUAGAUAUAAGUGUUUAGAAAUUGAACACUUUUCUGUGAAGUGCAGAGUUAUCUUCCCGGAAAUGACGCAUAUAUAUUCGAAUGAUAAAUAGAGCGGUUAUCGAAACAAAGGAAAUCCCAAUGUUAGCUAAAGAAGAUGGAUUAAAGGAAGUGAAUGCUAAUCAAAGUGAUAACCAUGAAGAGAUUGUGAAAUGCAUUUAAACUGCAACAUUACUGCGAUAAAAGGAUAUGGUCCACAUCGAACUUGAAAGCAAAAAUACACGUAUCAGAGAAACUGUUGCCAUAUCCAAGUCCACAAUGGCAUACCAUCGUUCUUACAUUUUUCAACACUUCUUACUUUCUAGGGGAAACUGAGUUUUGUGAAGUCUGCUGUUCGUUAUAGCUUUGAACAACCUAAAAAUAUUCUCAAAUAAUGACAGUGGAUUACCUACUGACGGUCACAGAUGAAAACAAAUUAUGCGUGUGUUGCUCAGUGAAUAUUGCUGGAAGUUAAACUUGAUACAGACAUGAAAAAUAACUGCUUGCUAAUCUGGUUAGAAUUAAAACCAGCGUGUAAAAAUAUAAUGUAUAUUUAAUUUAAAAUUCUUUAUAAAAAAUCCAUGUUUGAAUGUUCAUUGAAUAAAAUUUAAAAUGUAAACAA